ACUUUACAUACAUUUUCCAACCCGGAGCGGCUUCAACACAUGCAGCUCUUAGGCCCGGGCCGCACAUCUCAGAAGCCCCGUGUGCGACUUUGACUGCCGCACGAUCCUCUGCCGGGGGAGGUGGGCCCGCUGCGCUUUGGGAGCACCCGCGCCCGACACUGAGGUCUCGGUGCUGUCUUCGGCCUCUUCGCCCCUGAGGGUCCCCUCUGGGAGCAGAGGCGGUCGGAAAACCCUGGGGCUGAAGUGCAGGCUUCGGGAGGACGCGACCUGCCAAGAUCAGCUCCCGGCACGUGAUGGGAGCCUGGCUCACCUUCCCCCAGCACACGAUGGGGCUGCAGCCUCCCCGGUCAGCCUGGCCUGCUGGAAAGGAGCAGCUCUGUCUCCAGAGGCUUCUGGCGAAGCCCAUGGCCUCCCAAUGUUGGCUGAUUUAUAAGGAAAGAGGGGAAAGGCCAAGUGUGGAUGCCAUUAGCAUAACCUAAUCCAGACCCCAUGACAAGUCCAGGAUCCUGCAGGGAGAGGGCAUCCUUGAACGUGAAGGACUGGGUUUGGAAACUUGGCCUCCCGGAAGAAAGGUCUCCGGGCCCACCCACACCCCCCUUGUGGACGCCCCCGCAGUCUAAUACACUCCACAGUAAGACGGACCAGGAACAGCAGCAGCCUCCGGUGUCGGCCCAGUGAUCCGGGAGCUCAGAGUGUAGGUACCUGACGGCUUGACUCGUCCCCAGGACAAGGCCUGUGAGUGGGAGAGGGGCACUCUGAGUGUGCGAAUCUGUGAGAGUGUGUGUGUGUCUGGGCACGAGUGUGUAUGCGUGUGUGUGCAUGUAUAUUCACAUGUGUGAGGGUGUGAAUGUGUGUGUCUGUGGGUCUGGGCACAUGAGUGUGUGUGUGCAUAUACUACAUUCACGUGUGAGUGUGCAAAUGCGAGUGUGUCUGUAGGUCUGGGCACGUGUAUGCGUGUGUGUGCGAGUACUAUAUUCGCAUGUGUGAGUGUGCGAAUGUGUGUGUCUGUGGGUCUGGGCACACGAGUGUGUAUGCGUGUGUGUGCAUGUACUAUAUUCACGUGUGUGAGUGUGCGAAUGUGUCUGUGGGUCUGGGCACAUGAGUGUGUGCAUAUACUAUAUUCACGUGUGUGAGUGUGCAAAUGUGUGUCUGUAGGUCUGGGCACAUGUGUAUGCGUGUGUGUGCGAGUACUAUAUUCACGUGUGUGUGAGUGCGAAUGUGAGUGGGUGUGGGUCUGGUCACAUGUAUGUAUGCAUGUGUGCAUGUAUUAUAGUCAUGUGAGUGUGCAAAUGUGUGUGUGGGUCUGGGCACACAAGUGUGUAUGCAUGUGUUUCUAUUGUAUUCAUGUGAGUAUAAGUGCAAAUGUGUGAGUGUGUGUUCUCUGCACACACAAGUGUAUAGGUAUGUGUUUGUGUGUGCAUGCACUGUAUUCAUGUGAGUGUAUGUGAAUGUGUGACUGUGAGAGUUUGAGUGUGCCUGGGUGUCUGGCUAUACUAGUGCAUGUCUGUGUUCGUGUGCAUCAGUCUGGGUGUGCCCGUGUGUGAAUGUGUCUAUGCGUGGGUGUCCCAAUAUGUGUGUGCCUGUGUAUCCAUGUCUGGGUGUGCCUGUGAGUGUGAGUGUGCGCAUGGGUGUCUGGAUAUGUGAGUGCUUGUGACUACCUGUGUGUGUAUCCAUGUCUAGGUGUGCCCGUGGGUGUGAGUGUGUCUGUGCGUGGGUGUCUGGAUACGUGUGUGCCUGUAUGAGUGUGUAUCCAUGUCUGGGUGUGCCCACGGGUGUGAGUGUGAAUAUGUAAGUCUUGCGUGUGCAUGAGUGUGUUCACAUGAGUGUGAGGGUCUGUGCAUAAGAGCCUAUUGUGAGUGCAUGUGGAUUGCAUUUAUGUGAGUCCGUGUCUGUGUGCACGCACGUGUCCCCGCACAAGCCAGCCCGAGAGGGAGUGUCCCCUGAACACACCCUGGCAGCACUUGCAGCGUGAUGAGGUUGAGGGAAUGUGUCGCUGAGGUCGUAAAUGCCUCUCGCACGUCCCAACACGCUGGAGCAACAGCAGCCCGUGAUGCCGGCCGCGCAGCCGUGAAGUCCGUGGAGCGUCCCUAAUCACUGGGGGUUCUGCUUUGCGGUGACAGCGGUGCUACUCACAGCUCCAGAACUCUGCAGCUUCCCCCCUGAAACGGGAACGGGAAGGUGGCGCGGGCGUCCACACCUCGAGCCACAGCCGGCGGGAGGCACAGGCUGGCAAAACUGCCUCUCAGUAGUGAGAAGAGACAAACAAACCGAACGCCAGGAGCAGAGGAAACGAAGACGAUGUGGCCAAGAAAAAUUGCAUUUUUCUUUCCAGUUUUGCUAAAAUAGCCUUCUCAUUGGCUGCGGCUUUGGAGGUGGCAGAAAUCAUACGUUUAAUCACGGCGCCCUCCUGCUUGCCAAGGUUAGCAGGGGCUGUACUGCUGUGCCCUCCUGUCCCUGGAGGCUCUGGUGGCCCCACUCCCCACACUGCCAGGCUGGGUGCCACGCUGCCGUGACCCCGGAAUUCAGCCUGUGGUGAUCGGUCUUCCCUAGCACGGAGCUGAGUUAGGGGCUCUAGAAUCAGUCCCAGCCACGUGAGGCUCUCCCUGGGAUGUGAGGGUCGUCUCGUCUGUUUACACGGGGGCCACAGUGCAGAUCCCAGCCCGGGCAGGGGAGGGGCAAAUCUAUGCCCACUUCAAGCUUCCACUUCUGCCCGCCUCAAAGUGCCGGAGACUCCGGCACCUCUGCGUUCCUCCUUCCCGGUAGGAACAGAAAGCUGGGAAAGGGCUGGGGUGGCAAGGAAGAGCCCCAGGAAGACGGGAGUGGCUCUCCCCACUCCCUAGAGGACCUCCCUCCCCCAAGCCCAUGGGCCGCCUUCUCCAGGGACUCUUCCCUGUCCCACCCACCGGGCAAGGUGGGCCCAGCAGGGUCUCCUUUUCACCGUGCGCCCCCUCCUGUGGCCGGGUCCUGGGCUAAUGACCUCACAUGCUGCUUUUACAAGUCAGGUUUAUUGCGGUAUCACGUACACACAUAAGGCUCACCCGUUUUCGAUGUACAGCCGACGACUUGGUAAGGGUCUAGAGUGGGGCACUUCUGCCCCGACAGAGGCAGCCCACAUUUUGCCCCUCUGCAGUCAGGCCCCUUCCCGGCCCCCAACCACCACCUGUCUCUCCUCGCUCCUACAGCUUUGCGUCCUCCAGAAUUGUCCUGUGAGUGACUCCCGCAGGAUGGAGACUUUUGUGUCUGGCUUCCUUCACUUCGCAGCAGGCUUCGCGGGACCCGUGUGGUGGCACCAGCGUCCAGCCCUUGGUACUGCUGAGUUGUAGGUUGUGGGACAGGUGGAGGUACCACAGUUGCUCACGGGUUCACCUGUGGAUGGGCAUGUGGGCUGUUGUGAGUGAAGCCACUUCAGACGUUUGCGUGCAGGUUUGGUGGGGACGUGCAGUUUCAUUUCUUUUGAGAGUGGGAUUGCUGGAGCCUAUGUUAAGGGUACGUUCAACUCAUCAGCUCAACUGUCUUCCAAAUGGCAGCCCCGUUUUCCACCCCCGCCAGCAACGCCCGCGA
This 3561-nucleotide long non-coding RNA is filed under the name Homo sapiens (human). Its description in RNAcentral is "non-protein coding lnc-NPIPB11-2:3". Lineage: Eukaryota; Metazoa; Chordata; Mammalia; Primates; Hominidae. The record is from RNAcentral.